RNAcentral lists this ribosomal RNA (253 nucleotides) under uncultured bacterium. RNAcentral describes it as "partial 16S ribosomal RNA". It matches the Rfam family "Bacterial small subunit ribosomal RNA", at positions 524 to 776 of the family's 1533-position model. The record is from RNAcentral.
UACAGAGGGCGCAAGCGUUAAUCGGAAUUACUGGGCGUAAAGCGCGCGUAGGUGGUUUGUUAAGUUGGAUGUGAAAUCCCCGGGCUCAACCUGGGAACUGCAUUCAAAACUGACAAGCUAGAGUAUGGUAGAGGGUGGUGGAAUUUCCUGUGUAGCGGUGAAAUGCGUAGAUAUAGGAAGGAACACCAGUGGCGAAGGCGACCACCUGGACUGAUACUGACACUGAGGUGCGAAAGCGUGGGGAGCAAACAGG